RNAcentral lists this long non-coding RNA (2014 nucleotides) under Marmota monax (woodchuck). Lineage: Eukaryota; Metazoa; Chordata; Mammalia; Rodentia; Sciuridae. The record is from RNAcentral.
GUGUAAGAUAAGAGUCUAAUUUCACCAUUUUGUAUUGUUGUUUAUUCAGUUUUCUUAACACCAUUUGAUGAAAAGAUUAUCCUUUUCCCAUUAUGUAUUUAUGUAUUCCUGGCACCUUAGUUGAAGAUCAGUUGACCAUAUACAUAUGAAUUUAUUUCUGGGUUCUUUGUUCUGUUCUGUUGGUCUCUUUUUAUGGCAAUAUUUAAUUACUGUAUCCUUGUAACAUAUUUUGAUACUAGGAAUUGUGAUAGCUCUAGUUUAUUUUUCUCCAAGAUUAUCUUGGAUAUUUGAGGUCUUUUGUGUGUGAAUUUUAGAAUUUUUCUUUCUAUUUCUGUAAAAAAUGUCUUUGGAGGAGAAGAUCCAAGAUGGCUAUCUAGAGGGAAGAUGCAUUCCUUGUCGCUCUGUGACUCGGUGUCCAAACAGAAGAAAUACUGUUUCUCUGCAAGGCAGUGUUGCUGUCCAUUGAUCUCUUGCUGUUUACCCACCAUUUGUCUGCUGUGAUCACCCAUUGUGUACCAGUAUAUAGCCUGCCUUUUGAACACAGAUCCCUUGCUGACUGCUGCCUGUCAUCUGCCAUUUGCCUGCCUCUUGCCUGUCCAUCGCCUGCCACCUGAUGUCCACCGGUGGAUCACCUGAUGUUAGUCUGCAGACCACCCACAGACUGCCAGCAGAUUGCCCCCUGCCUACUGUCCCCUACUUUCUGGAAGACCAUUGUCACAGUACCCACAGGUUUGGUUACAAGCAGUCACCACCAUCUUGGAACAUCCACCAAGACCUGUUGGUUUGUUGCUGCACCGCCGCCAUCUUGGGGCACAGCCACCUCAGUCUGGGAACACCAGCCAGAGCUUAGAAAUAUAUUUUUGGGGUACCUGCAGCUCUGAUUGCACCUGAGGUCUUUCUUCUAGGUGUGCUAGUGGCUACUAUCUGGAUGUCUCUUUGCAGGGUCGCUCCUUUGUGUAAGUGCAUCCCUGGUGAUCUCUCUGUAAGCUGAAACAGCAUUGAGAUCUUGGGACUGCAGUAAGGCAGAGCAUGGAGAAUCUGAAGCCCAGGUCUAUCAGAUUGAAGCUGGGCUUGUGUGGGCAAGUCUGGGUCUAGCAAGCCCAUGGAACACCAGAGAUUAGAGGCAAUUCCCCAAAGGGAGCACAGGUUGGAGAAACUGGAAAAAACUGGGCUCUCUCCAGCUCAGUGAGUCCUAAAGUACAUGAGGAUGAAAGGGGUUGGCUACAAGUGGGAAGCCUGGAAAAGGGUAUGAAAACAUCUUGUUAUUGGCUCACCCACCCAACCAGUACAGCACCAACCAGACUGGAGCUUCCGUCAAACUUUAGACAACCCCACCUAUCAGCAGAGAAGAGCAGCUGAGAACAUUUUUUAAAGCCAAUGGAAGUUAUUGUUCAAUUUUCCAUUGAAGUAUUCCUUUUUUUUUUCUCUUUUUCCCUCUCUCUCUACCAUCUUUGAAUCCAAAUAUUUUUCUUGCUUCAAUUAUUGAGAAAAUGGUACAUCUGAAUAGUAUAUUACAGUUUUGUUGUAUAUCCUUAUAUUUUUACUUUUUUUCUUUUUUAAAUCUGUAUAUAUUUUUUCUGUCGCCUAUCUCUCUCAUUGGAUUCUCUUUCUCAAUUAUCUCAUACUAACAGCCAACCUCUAUUAAUUACUCCCUCGGUAUUACUAAACAUUUUUACUUCUAUCUUCUCUCCUCCCUCAUAAACACCACAUCUUACACUACUUCUGUUCCCUCAUUGUCCAUCAUGAGAAAUGGUAGAACCUUUUAGCAUACUUACUAUAUUAUUGUAGACAAUAACUGAAUACAUCAUUUCUGGUUAUUGUAACAAAGCUGUAGAUGCCUUAAUGGGAUCUAUUUGGUUUAAAGGUAUAUAUUGUUUGCAUUUGGUGCUGUUAAUAUGGGUCUCUCCAUUAAAGAUAAGGUACUGGAAGCCUUCAGGGACACUAUAAGACUAUAGGGCAGAAACUGUAUUUCCUCAGAUCCAUACUGCUAGAUGGGAAGACACACAAACAACAC